CCUACGGGAGGCAGCAGUCGAGAAUCAUUCACAAUGGGGGAAACCCUGAUGGGGCGACGCCGCGUGGGGGAAUGAAGGUCUUCGGAUUGUAAACCCCUGUCAUGUGGGAGCAAAUUAAAAAGAUAGUACCACAAGAGGAAGCGACGGCUAACUCUGUGCCAGCAGCCGCGGUAAUACAGAGGCCUCAAGCGUUGGUCGUAAUCACUGGGCGUAAGGCGUGCGUAGGCUGUUUCGUAAGUCGUGUGUGAAAGGCGCGGGCUCAACCCGCUGACGGCACAUGAUACUGCGAGACUAGAGUAAUGGAGGGGGAACCGGAAUUCUCGGUGUAGCAGUGAAAUGCGUAGAUAUCGAGAGGAACACUCGUGGCGAAGGCGGGUUCCUGGACAUUAACUGACGCUGAGGCACGAAAGCCAGGGGAGCGAAAAGGAUUAGAUACCCUUGUAGUC
RNAcentral lists this ribosomal RNA (446 nucleotides) under uncultured bacterium. RNAcentral describes it as "partial 16S ribosomal RNA". It matches the Rfam family "Bacterial small subunit ribosomal RNA", at positions 338 to 795 of the family's 1533-position model. The record is from RNAcentral.